Exaiptasia diaphana is the source of this 194-nucleotide long non-coding RNA. RefSeq lists it as uncharacterized. Lineage: Eukaryota; Metazoa; Cnidaria; Anthozoa; Actiniaria; Aiptasiidae. The record is from RefSeq and is a predicted model, not a curated record. The transcript is spliced from 3 exons.
GAAUAACUUCAUGGGACAGAAUACUUGAGACGUAUAAAUAACUUUUGAAAAUGCAGCCUUCCGAAGAUGAUUUCAUACUGCGCAAGCUUGGUCACGUCCUGAUUCUUUUGUGUAUAGGAGGAUAUUUCAUAUACUGCAAGCUGAAGGAAUGGAUCCUCAAAUUCAUCGGAGCAACUAAAUUUGCAGCUGUACAG